This 253-nucleotide ribosomal RNA is filed under the name uncultured bacterium. RNAcentral describes it as "partial 16S ribosomal RNA". It matches the Rfam family "Bacterial small subunit ribosomal RNA", at positions 524 to 776 of the family's 1533-position model. The record is from RNAcentral.
UACGUAGGGGGCAAGCGUUGUCCGGAAUCAUUGGGCGUAAAGAGCGCGUAGGCGGCCCGAUCAGUCCGCUGUGAAAGUCAAGGGCUUAACCCUUGAAUGCCGGUGGAUACUGUCGGGCUAGAGUCCGGAAGAGGCGAGUGGAAUUCCUGGUGUAGCGGUGAAAUGCGCAGAUAUCAGGAAGAACACCUAUGGCGAAGGCAGCUCUCUGGGACGGUACUGACGCUGAGACGCGAAAGCGUGGGGAGCGAACAGG